Molecule: ribosomal RNA, 492 nt
Filed under: uncultured bacterium
Lineage: Bacteria
Description: partial 16S ribosomal RNA
Rfam family: Bacterial small subunit ribosomal RNA
Source: RNAcentral
AGUGAACGCUGGCGGUAGGCCUAACACAUGCAAGUCGAACGGCAGCACAGUAAGAGCUUGCUCUUACGGGUGGCGAGUGGCGGGCGGGUGAGGAAUACAUCGGAAUCUACUUUUUCGUGGGGGAUAACGUAGGGAAACUUACGCUAAUACCGCAUACGACCUACGGGUGAAAGCAGGGGAUCUUCGGACCUUGCGCGAUUGAAUGAGCCGAUGUCGGAUUAGCUAGUUGGCGGGGUAAAGGCCCACCAAGGCGACGAUCCGUAGCUGGUCUGAGAGGAUGAUCAGCCACACUGGAACUGAGACACGGUCCAGACUCCUACGGGAGGCAGCAGUAGGGAAUAUUGGACAAUGGGCGCAAGCCUGAUCCAGCCACACCGCGUGGGUGAAGAAGGCCUUCGGGUUGUAAAGCCCUGUUGUUGGGAAAGAAAAGCAGCAGGUUAAUACCCCGCUGUUCUGACGGUACCCAAAGAAUAAGCACCGGCUAACUUCGUG